This is a long non-coding RNA of Gambusia affinis (western mosquitofish), 661 nucleotides long. RefSeq lists it as uncharacterized. Lineage: Eukaryota; Metazoa; Chordata; Actinopteri; Cyprinodontiformes; Poeciliidae. The record is from RefSeq and is a predicted model, not a curated record. The transcript has 3 exons.
UUGACUGAGUUUCAGCCAGGGGGUUGUGUGUGUGUGUAUGUGUGUGGGUGUGUGUGUGUGUGUGUAUGUCUUCGUGUGUGUGUGGGUGUGUGUGUGUGUGUGUGAGGGCGGUCCCCUCCUCUGUUUGAUUCUGAUCAGGAAGGAAGCUGCAGCAGAACCAGAAGAACAGACAGGGAGGCAGGUCUCCUCUCCAGUGGAACCAGUUUCCUGAGGCAGAACCCUGAAUGUUUUCCAGACUUUAGAUUUCAGCUGUGAUGAAGCUGAUGGUGAAGGUCCAGUAUCCGCCCCACCUUUAUCAAGGCCAGAGGACUCCAAAGUUCUUCAUGCUACCAUUUCCCCAGCGCCCCCUGCUGGGCCCUCUGACCUCCAGCAGGAGGCAGCUGGAAGUCCUGCUCCAGGACACAACCAUAACGAACCAGCAACCCACCGACUGAGGGACCAACUCCUACACUCCUACCCUGAUUUGUCCUGAUUUACCCUGAUUGCCUUCCAGUCGCUGUCAGCAACUGCCAACAUGACUCCCUUCCUGCUGCAGACCAUCUCUGGCUGGCCGGGGUUAGCCAGAGCCCUUGCUGCUGUCAGGCUGCUACCGGCUGCUGGAGGACAGGUUUUUACACUGAGAGAAGACUAAAGCAUCACAAUUUAGUAUAUUGCAGCAAAG